GUCGGGGAAGAAAAUGACUGUACCCGAAUAAGAAGGUCCGGCUAACUUCGUGCCAGCAGCCGCGGUAAUACGAAGGGACCUAGCGUAGUUCGGAAUUACUGGGCUUAAAGAGUUCGUAGGUGGUUGAAAAAGUUAGUGGUGAAAUCCCAGAGCUUAACUCUGGAACUGCCAUUAAAACUUUUCAGCUAGAGUAUGAUAGAGGAAAGCAGAAUUUCUAGUGUAGAGGUGAAAUUCGUAGAUAUUAGAAAGAAUACCAAUUGCGAAGGCAGCUUUCUGGAUCAUUACUGACACUGAGGAACGAAAGCAUGGGUAGCGAAGAGGAUUAGAUACCCUCGUAGUCCAUGCCGUAAACGAUGUGUGUUAGACGUUGGAAAUUUAUUUUCAGUGUCGCAGGGAAACCGAUAAACACACCGCCUGGGGAGUACGACCGCAAGGUUAAAACUCAAAUGAAUUGACGGGGACCCGCACAAGUAGUGGAGCAUGUGGUUUAAUUCGAAGAUACGCGCAGAACCUUACCAACACUUGACAUGUUCGUCGCGACUCUAAGAGAUUAGAGUUUUCGGUUCGGCCGGACGAAACACAGGUGCUGCAUGGCUGUCGUCAGCUCGUGUCGUGAGAUGUUGGGUUAAGUCCCGCAACGAGCGCAACCCUCACUUUUAGUUGCCAUCAUUAAGUUGGGCACUCUGAAAGAACUGCCAGUGAUAAGCUGGAGGAAGGUGGGGAUGACGUCAAGUCCUCAUGGCCCUUACGUGUUGGGCUACACACGUGCUACAAUGGCAUCUACAACAGGAAGCAAAACGGCAACGUUAAGCAAAUCCCGAAAAGAUGCCUCAGUUCGGAUUGCACUCUGCAACUCGAGUGCAUGAAGCUGGAAUUACUAGUAAUCG
This 887-nucleotide ribosomal RNA is filed under the name marine metagenome. RNAcentral's name for it is "bacterial SSU rRNA". It matches the Rfam family "Bacterial small subunit ribosomal RNA", at positions 438 to 1344 of the family's 1533-position model. The record is from RNAcentral.